Molecule: ribosomal RNA, 253 nt
Filed under: uncultured bacterium
Lineage: Bacteria
Description: partial 16S ribosomal RNA
Rfam family: Bacterial small subunit ribosomal RNA
Source: RNAcentral
UACGAAGGGGGCUAGCGUUGUUCGGAAUUACUGGGCGUAAAGCGUGCGCAGGCGGCUUCUCAAGUCAGGGGUGAAAGCCCAGAGCUUAACUCUGGAAUUGCCUUUGAGACUGAGAGGCUUGAGUACGGGAGAGGUGAGUGGAAUUCCCAGUGUAGAGGUGAAAUUCGUAGAUAUCAGGAGGAACACCUGUGGUGUAGACGGCUUUCUGGACCAUCACUGACGCUGAGACACGAAAGCGUGGGUAGCAAACAGG